Ribosomal RNA from Jaculus jaculus (lesser Egyptian jerboa), 121 nucleotides. The record is from Ensembl. Lineage: Eukaryota; Metazoa; Chordata; Mammalia; Rodentia; Dipodidae.
UCAUCUACCGUGGCUCCUCAUCUCAUCUGGUCUUGGGAGCUAAGCAGGGCCAGGCCUGGUUAGUACAUGGAUGGGAGAAAUGGUCAUCUAGCCAGCCACCACCAAGGAAGCCCUGCAUGGC